GCCGUCGGUACGGCGUUAAGUAUCCCGCCUGGGGAGUACGGUCGCAAGGNUGNNNCNCAAAGAAANUGACGGGNCCCCCCAAGCGUGGAGUAUGUGGUUUAAUUUCGAUGCAACNCGAAGAUCCUUNCCUAGGNNUGACAUCCUGGGAANCCCGCAGAGAUGCGGGANNNGCCUUCGGGGAAUCCAGABACAGGUGCUGCAUGGCUGUCGUCAGUUCGUGCCGUGAGGUGUUGGGUUAAGUCCCGCAACGAGCGCAACCCCUAUUCUCAGUUGCCAGCACAUAAUGGUGGGCACUCUGUGGAGACUGCCCGGGUUAACCGGGAGGAAGGUGGGGAUGACGUCAAKUCAUCAUGGYCCUUACGCCUAGGGCUACACACGUACUACAAUGGUGGGUAYWAAGGGCAGCGAAACCGCGAGGUCGAGCGAAUYUCUUUAAACCCUUUAUAGUCCKKAUUGCAGUCUGCAACUCGAAUGCAUGAAGUUGGAAUCGCUUGUAAUCCCKKUUCAGCAUGCCGGGGUGAAUACGUUUCCGGKCUUUGUACACACCGCCCGUYACACYACUAAAGUCGGUUCUACCCGWAGUUGCCGKACUAAUCCUUGGGAUGUAGGCGCUACGGUAGUGCUKKUAAUUGGGGUGAAGUCGUWACAAGGUUUCUUUUACUACUUCGCUCUCAGCGU
RNAcentral lists this ribosomal RNA (678 nucleotides) under uncultured bacterium. RNAcentral's name for it is "partial 16S ribosomal RNA". It matches the Rfam family "Bacterial small subunit ribosomal RNA", at positions 845 to 1533 of the family's 1533-position model. The record is from RNAcentral.